CGGAGUGUAGGCUAGUGGUAAGUCGCCCGGUUUGGGACCGGGAAAUCGCAGGUUCGAGUCCUGCCAUUCCGA
RNAcentral lists this transfer RNA (72 nucleotides) under Sulfitobacter phage vB_SupP_AX. It matches the Rfam family "tRNA". From Rfam's summary of the family: Transfer RNA (tRNA) molecules are approximately 80 nucleotides in length. Their secondary structure includes four short double-helical elements and three loops (D, anti-codon, and T loops). Further hydrogen bonds mediate the characteristic L-shaped molecular structure. tRNAs have two regions of fundamental functional importance: the anti-codon, which is responsible for specific mRNA codon recognition, and the 3' end, to which the tRNAs corresponding amino acid is attached (by aminoacyl-tRNA synthetases). tRNAs cope with the degeneracy of the genetic code in two manners: having more than one tRNA (with a specific anti-codon) for a particular amino acid; and 'wobble' base-pairing, i.e. permitting non-standard base-pairing at the 3rd anti-codon position. The record is from Rfam by way of RNAcentral. Lineage: Duplodnaviria; Heunggongvirae; Uroviricota; Caudoviricetes; Schitoviridae.